Westerdykella ornata is the source of this 72-nucleotide non-coding RNA. The record is from the annotation of a RefSeq genome assembly. NCBI's taxonomy places the organism in Eukaryota, Fungi, Ascomycota, Dothideomycetes, Pleosporales, Sporormiaceae.
GGGCAAUUGGUCUAGUGGUAUGAUUUUCCCUUAGCAUGGGAAAGGUCCUGGGUUCAAUUCCCAGAUUGUCCA